This 2109-nucleotide long non-coding RNA is filed under the name Taeniopygia guttata (zebra finch). RNAcentral describes it as "lncRNA (ENSTGUG00000019201.1)". The record is from RNAcentral. Lineage: Eukaryota; Metazoa; Chordata; Aves; Passeriformes; Estrildidae.
AACGCAGACCGUGCAAUCCCUUACCGAAUUUUCUCAGAUAUACCUCAUAGAGAAUAGCUGUUUAGCGUAAUGUUAUUAUAGCGUAUGUAAUAAAUUAUUCACUGUUCUUUUUGGUAACUGUGAUUUAAAAGAAAAAAAACAGAAGAAGAAGCUUUCUAUGUUUUAGGUUGUGCUUUUGUACUAGACGGAGAAGGUGCGCUUAAAAAUGUACGUCAGUCUUUCUUCCCAUUGGGUUUCUUUUGUUGUUAUGGAUCGGGGAAAAGUUGCAGAAUGAGCCCAAAGUUUACAGUUUCAUAUUUUGCUGAAGAAACAAUCUGUGUUCAUUUGCUCUGUUGAAGAAAAAAAAAAAAAAAAAAAAGAAAAAAAGAGGAAAAAAAUUAUUUUCUACAUUCGUGCUACUUGGUCUGAAGAGCUGAUUGUCCUGUGUGACAGUGUAGUAUUAUAAUUAGCAACUGCCAAUCAGCGCUCCCAUGUUUAUGCAUGAGGCAAACCCUUAGCAGUGUGAUGCAUCGUGGUUCUUAAUGGCAACUUCUUCCUUUGGGUUUGGGACGAGGUCUUUGGGUUGAUGGUAUUUAUUUAUGCAUGGAGCCUGUUAGCUGUUCGCAGUCGUGGCGCAGUUGUGUUUGCAUUGACGCUGUGAAAUCAUGCCCAGUUUCGCCCCGUGCAGCUCAGGGCGGCUGUCCAGAUCAGCUCUGGUCUGUCCCUGUGUUAAACAGACCCAAAUUCAGUUACAAUGAAAUUGCCAUUUGGGGAGAAGUCUGGCCAGCUGGCAGCUUCUCCCCAGCGACUGGAUUCCUUCAGUCCCCUGGCAGUGCAUGUGCUGCUCCCCACGGAGGCUGCUGUGCGUUUUUUCCCAGGUCAGGAGCUCCUUUGGCUUUAUGGCAGCCCUGGGCACAGCAGGGCCGGCGCGGUGGGUGCUCAGGGACCACCCCUGGGCUCAGCAGCGCUGUCCUGGCCGUGUCACCCGGGUGUCCACCCGAGCACUCUGGCUGUGGCCUGUGCUGCUCCUGCCCCACGGGCAGCCCCUUGCCCCCCUGCCCUGGGGCCAGGUUUGUUAAGGUGCUUUAUCCCCUUUGAUUUGUCUAGAUUCACGCUUGAGCCCCCCCGUUUAAGGAUGGGUUAUGUUUUCUCUGCGGGCCCAGCCUCGGAGCCCCGAUGUCCCUCUGAUCCCAGACUGUGCUGGACAUAAAGCCAAACCAGCUGCUCCGUGCCCUGCACUCUGCGUGGAAAAGGAGGCCUGGGGAGGGGCAUUCUCCUGAGGAGGCCUCUGAGUGUUGAUAUUGUCUGUCAUUAAGGGUAUAUUAGAUAUGUGCUCUCAUUAGUGCAAGGAGACAUUUUUAUUUGGCCUUACUCGGUAGGUUGUGGUAAUAAUGAAAGCUGUGUAACAUAGUCGGGUUAUUUUCUUUCCUGAUUUCUCUGCCAAAGACAGUAACAGACACAAGAACUUUAAAUAGGGGUUUUUGUAAGACAGUUGAUGAUUGUAACAGUGGUUAAUCUUCCAGAAAGCUUUCCACGUUCUUCCGCAAUAAGCAGAGCGGGAUGUUCCGGCAGAGCCCUGCUGGCAGAUGCCACCACUCCUCACCGACACGCCGAGUACACCUGCAUUCCUCAGUCCAGAGGCAACGAGGGGUAUGUGAGGCCAUGGCAAGGGCACAGCGGGGCUGGCACGAGCUGCUCCAGCUGGCUGGAAUUUGCCAAGCAGCUCUACGGGAGGAGGCAGGAGGUUCCUGGAGCUGAAAUUCCAUGGCAAGGAGGAUGUAGCAGGUUUGCCUUCAUUCAUUCAUUCAUUUAGUCAGUUAUUUACCCUAGCUGUGGACAAGUCUUAUUUGUUCUGUUUCCUUGAAAAAAAGCGAAACAAAGUGUACAAGAAAAGCGCUUUGUUGUAUUUCUGUCUUUAAAAACAAAACCAAACCAGCCCUUUCUUGCCCUAACUCACUCCUCUGACCACCUGGAGCAGGGUCAGCGUGGGGAAGGCAUGGGGGACCCCAGAGCCCCCAGCAGCACCGUGUCCCAGCCCCAGAGCAGUGACAAGGCCCUGUGGGGUUUAUUGUCUGGGAUCUAACCUUGGCACCAAUGUCUAACCUUGGGGUUAAUAAACUCACUGAAAAA